RNAcentral lists this ribosomal RNA (306 nucleotides) under uncultured Peredibacter sp. RNAcentral describes it as "bacterial SSU rRNA". It matches the Rfam family "Bacterial small subunit ribosomal RNA", at positions 1033 to 1340 of the family's 1533-position model. The record is from RNAcentral. Lineage: Bacteria; Pseudomonadati; Bdellovibrionota; Bacteriovoracia; Bacteriovoracales; Bacteriovoracaceae.
GAGAGGUGCUGCAUGGCUGUCGUCAGCUCGUGUUGUGAAAUGUUGGGCUAAGUCUCGCAACGAGCGCAACCCCUAUCGUCUGUUGCCAGCAUUAAAUUGGGCACUCUGACGAGACUGCCUGGGUUAACCAGGAGGAAGGUGGGGAUGACGUCAAGUCCUCAUGGCCCAUAUGUCUAGGGCUACACACGUAAUACAAUGGCGCGUACAAAGGGAAGCGAACUCGCAAGGGGGAGCAAAUCUCAAAAAGCGCGUCUCAGUCCGGAUUGGAGUCUGCAACUCGACUCCAUGAAGUUGGAAUCGCUAGUG